GCAUUAUUUCCUCAGGAGGAAGAAAAAAACUCUUGGAAAUUAAAAAGAAGACAAGACAAUUUCAAAUGGUUAUUUCUCCCACCCUAAUCUCAUCUCUACCUCAAUCUGGAGUCACUCUAUAACUUUGGGAAAUUACCAGUGAAGUUACAUGAUAAAAUUUGAAACUACUAAAUAGUAUUUCUUUACAUUUCUAUUGUGCAUGGAAUCUAGUCUCUAACAGUUACUAAAACAUCUCCAUAAGCCAACUGCUUUAAGAAAGACCUCUAUAACAAUCAGAACAACAUGGUGCCAUUUGAAUAUUAUGAUCAACACUUUGUACCAUUAAACCACUCUUACCACCUGGCCACAACCAAUUCAAUAACACAUCAACCCAGUAAACAACCUGUGGCCAAAGUACAGUCCUAUAGCAAUAACCUCGAAGUACAUCCAUUAAGCUGUAUCAGACAGUCCAGAGCUAUUCAAUAUUACCUUCUCCUAAGUCUCAAGUAAAAAUUUCACAGGACCUCAAUAAUAACGAUACAAAUUUACAAAUAUCCCACUCCAAAUGCCCAGUUACUCCUUCAAUGGAUCACAGGAGAAGUUCAUCGUCAUAUCCCAUUUGGAAAGACUUGAACUCAUAUAUAUCACACCCUAAACCUCAGACAACAUUUUCAUCUGACCUUAACAAGACAUCAUCAUCAUCAUUGAAACCAAAUGAAACAUCCUUAAGAUCACAGUUACCCCUCCCCAAAACUCAGACUACAUCUUCAAGCCUAGACCUUCACUAGACAUCACCUUUACUAAAGUCUAACCAAGAAAUUUCAAGUUCAUCAUUGUCUUAUCUCCAACAUCAAGAAACACCUCUGCUAAAUAUCAUGUGGGCUUCUUCUUUGAGACCCAAACAGAAAGCUAAUAAAUCAACAUUACUUCAAUCCAAAUUUCAGAAAACAUCUUCAUUGGAUUGUCUUUGGACAUCUAUAUUGGUACACAAUGAAAGAUAUUUGAGCUCACCAUCACUCAGUACUAAACCUCAAACAAGCAACUUUCUUCAGACAUCACAUUCCUUGGAGUUCAGCCAGAUGGCUCUAAGUUCACCACUGCAGGAUUUCAGACCUCAAAAAAAGACUAUAUUGACCUAUAAUCCCAGUGUUCUGAGUUUACCAUCAUCCCACAAGAAAUUACAGAAAUCACCUUUAUUGCACUCUGUCCACAGGUCUGAGAGUUUAUCAGUGUUCCACCCAAAAUCUCAGACAUUACUUACACUUGAUCAUAACUUCCAGACCCUCAGCUCACCCAUCUGUCACUCCAAGUUUCAGAAUACCACUUCACAGAAUGACAAACACACAGCCACAGAACUACCACCAUCCCACCCCGAAUCAAAUGCCCCAUGCCAGUCAUUGUCAAGCACCAAACACUGCAUCAAGAGUACAGCUGCUUCAACAUGGGGGUCUGGACUCCAGAAUAAAAGCAGCUUUGAUUUUAGUGCAAGGACAGAAUCAGGUAAAGAAAUUCCAUGGACUCUAGAUUAUAGUCAUCCCUGCAUUGUUAAAGGUGGAACUGUACCUGAUCAUGUUGUAAACAAAAUCGUCAAUUCUCUCUCCAAGACCAGAAUCCAAAGGGAUCUCUCUAGACAGAUUCUCUUUCGAAGGAUGAGGGGAAAGCCAAAUCCUCGUCCUGGUCCUCGCCUUUUAUCAACUUACACAGUUUGUUUAUCUUGUACUUCUUUCAUAAAAUCUCCAUGUAACCACCUCAUAGGAAAGAAAGAUCCUCGCUGUGGAACACUAUUUGUCAUACCAACACCCGAGGCCAAUUUUGAGGGGAAAAUCAAGGUGAAAUUACUUCUUAUCCUUUCUCUACCAGAGACUUCUUUCUCACCCUUUCUCCCAAUCCUACCUAUGAAAGGAAACCAGCCUGAAGAUCCCCUUAAUGACAACCUUGAAGAAAUGGAGAAGAUAUCACAGUUUUUCCCUACUUCUGAAUCUGAUAUCAUUCAAGGGCUUGGAGUGAAAAAAAGAUGGUUGGCAGCAUCCCCUGAAAACAAAGUUAAGUUUUGCUGUCCUUAUUAUGCUGACUGGACAAGUAAUGGGGUAGGCAACCUGAUGGAAGGACACUAAUCUGCCACGUCCUGAGUCCACAACCUACCAAUAUUAACAUAGCAUUGGGAUAAGUCCAAGGUCCACACAGCUAUGGGACGCCUCCUGCAGAGAUGGAUUUAUGACUCAAGACCACUGCAACCAGCCACAG
This is a long non-coding RNA of Fukomys damarensis (Damara mole-rat), 2223 nucleotides long. NCBI's taxonomy places the organism in Eukaryota, Metazoa, Chordata, Mammalia, Rodentia, Bathyergidae. The record is from Ensembl.